Brassica oleracea var. oleracea is the source of this 872-nucleotide long non-coding RNA. RefSeq lists it as uncharacterized. Lineage: Eukaryota; Viridiplantae; Streptophyta; Magnoliopsida; Brassicales; Brassicaceae. The transcript has 2 exons. The record is from RefSeq and is a predicted model, not a curated record.
UAGAUAAGUCGAGCGUUGUGGAAGCGAUGCGUGUCCCUUCACGGGCGCAAUGGGGUUUGUUCACGUUAUGGGCACGAACAAAGGUCGAUCUCUGCAGCCUUCAACGGUGAUGUCGUUUCCGCUUACUCUUUACCUUCUGAAACGGUUUGAGUAAAGAGUUGAGUUUGUGUUUAGUUUCAUUGAUUCGCCAAUCCACUACGUCGUCUUUAAUGCGCUUCUGUUUCAAUCUGAAAAUCGGUGAUUUCAGUAUAAUUAUGUGUACGUACUGUCAGGCGGUGGCGACGGGAACCAUGGUGUUAGAACGACCAGACGGAAAGUCGGAGAGAUUUUUCAGUACAGUAAGCGCCAGUGAGGUGGUUAAGUCUCAUCCCAGCCACCAGCUCUCCUCAUCUCCUCCUCCGUACCUCACGGCCGCUCUCUCCGCAUCAUCCGAAUCAAACAACUCCGUCCUUCCGAUAAUUUCUGCUCGGACAUGUAUAUACACUCAUCUCUUCCAAAGUAUUAUCACUUACUCUCUCUCUCCUGCAACUUCACUGUUUCACAUGGCAUUUUGUUCUGUCAUAUGAAUAAGAUUGUUCCAAAUCCUCAUGGUUUGGCUCCCGACAACUCUGAACCAUUACUUCAAUGGAGCCACCGUUAGCUAUUGUGGCAGAGAAACGUAUCAUUGCAGUGCCGGCCACGUUCUAAGGAGAAGAUGACAGUCCAAAUAUCUGUCACGAGAUUGAGUUGGCGGAACAGAAGACAAAUCGCUAAAGCUCUAAGUAGUAUGCCUAAUGUAUAUUCAUCCCUCUUUGGUAUGAGAUUCUGCAGCUUAGUACAAAAGACUGGUAGGAACGUGAAGCAACUUCAGGUGGUCUCAUCAACAAAAAAAA